Molecule: ribosomal RNA, 482 nt
Filed under: uncultured bacterium
Lineage: Bacteria
Description: partial 16S ribosomal RNA
Rfam family: Bacterial small subunit ribosomal RNA
Source: RNAcentral
AUUGAACGCUGGCGGCAUGCCUUACACAUGCAAGUCGAACGGUAACGGGCCUUCGGGUGCCGACGAGUGGCGAACGGGUGAGUAAUACAUCGGAACGUGCCCGAUCGUGGGGGGUAACGAGGCGAAAGCUUUGCUAAUACCGCAUACGAUCUACGGAUGAAAGCAGGGGACCGCAAGGCCUUGCGCGGACGGAGCGGCCGAUGGCAGAUUAGGUAGUUGGUGGGAUAAAAGCUUACCAAGCCGACGAUCUGUAGCUGGUCUGAGAGGAUGAUCAGCCACACUGGGACUGAGACACGGCCCAGACUCCUACGGGAGGCAGCAGUGGGGAAUUUUGGACAAUGGGCGCAAGCCUGAUCCAGCCAUGCCGCGUGAAGGAUGAAGGCCUUCGGGUUGUAAACUGCUUUUGUACGGAAGGAAAAGCCUUCUUUUAAUACAGGAGGGUCAUGACGGUACCGGAAGAAUAAGCACCGGCUAACUACGUG